This 1921-nucleotide ribosomal RNA is filed under the name human oral metagenome. Its description in RNAcentral is "bacterial LSU rRNA". It matches the Rfam family "Bacterial large subunit ribosomal RNA", at positions 979 to 2925 of the family's 2925-position model. The record is from RNAcentral.
GGGAGUCAGACUAUGUGAGAUAAGUUUCAUAGUCGAAAGGGAAACAGCCCAGACCGUCAGCUAAGGUCCCAAAAUAUAGGUUAAGUGGAAAAGGAUGUGGGGUUGCACAGACAGCUAGGAUGUUGGCUUAGAAGCAGCCAUUCAUUCAAAGAGUGCGUAAUAGCUCACUAGUCGAGUGACCCUGCGCCGAAGAUAAACGGGGCUAAAACCUAUUACCGAAGCUACGGAUACUUAAUGUAUGGUAGAGGAGCGUCGUAUACGGGUUGAAGCAGUACUGUAAGGUAUUGUGGACUUUAUACGAGAGAGAAUGUUGGCAUGAGUAGCGCGAGGCAGGUGAGAAUCCUGCCCACCGAAAAUCUAAGGUUUCCUGAGGAAGGUUCGUCCACUCAGGGUUAGUCGGGGCCUAAGCCGAGGGCGAAAGCCAUAGGCGAUGGAUAACAGGUAGAAAUUCCUGUACCACCGAAGGUUGUUUGAAUGAUGUGGGGACACAGGAGGAUAAGCUGAGCACGCCGUUGGUAGAGCGUGUCCAAGCGUCAAGGGAGUAUGAAUAGGCAAAUCCGUUCAUAUAUAUUCUGAGGCGUGAUGGGGUGGUCAAUAGACCGGAAGCAGCUGAUUUCACACUGUCAAGAAAAGCCGCUAAUUAGACCUAAGGUGCCCGUACCGCAAACCGACACAGGUAGAUGAGGAGAGAAUCCUAAGGUGAGCGAGCGAACUAUUGUUAAGGAACUCGGCAAAAUAACCCCGUAACUUCGGGAGAAGGGGUGCCUGCUUCGGCAGGCCGCAGUGAAGAGGUCCAGGCAACUGUUUACCAAAAACACAGGUCUCUGCAAAAGCGAAAGCUGAAGUAUAGGGGCUGACGCCUGCCCGGUGCUGGAAGGUUAAGGGGACGUGUCAUCGCAAGAGAAGCACUGAACUUAAGCCCCAGUAAACGGCGGCCGUAACUAUAACGGUCCUAAGGUAGCGAAAUUCCUUGUCGGGUAAGUUCCGACCCGCACGAAAGGCGUAAUGAUCUGGACACUGUCUCAACAAUAGGCUCGGUGAAAUUGUAGUACCGGUAAAGAUGCCGGUUACCCGCAGCAGGACGGAAAGACCCCGUGGAGCUUUACUGUAGCUUGAUAUUGAGUUUCGGCGUUGCAUGUACAGGAUAGGUGGGAGACUAUGAAGCAAGUACGCCAGUAUUUGCGGAGUCAUCGUUGGGAUACCACCCUUGUAACGCUGGAAUUCUAACCAUGUACCGUGAACCGGUGCUGAGACAGUGUCAGGUGGGCAGUUUGACUGGGGCGGUCGCCUCCUAAAGAGUAACGGAGGCGCCCAAAGGUUCCCUCAGCGCGGACGGAAAUCGCGCGAAGAGUGCAAAGGCAAAAGGGAGCUUGACUGCGAGACAUACAGGUCGAGCAGGGACGAAAGUCGGGCUUAGUGAUCCGGUGGUUCCGAGUGGAAGGGCCAUCGCUCAACGGAUAAAAGCUACCCCGGGGAUAACAGGCUGAUACCCCCCAAGAGUUCACAUCGACGGGGGUGUUUGGCACCUCGAUGUCGGCUCGUCUCAUCCUGGGGCUGAAGUAGGUCCCAAGGGUUGGGCUGUUCGCCCAUUAAAGAGGUACGCGAGCUGGGUUCAGAACGUCGUGAGACAGUUCGGUCCCUAUCCGCUGUGGGCGUUGGAAAUUUGAGUGGAGCUGUCCUUAGUACGAGAGGACCGGGAUGGACAUACCUCUGGUGCACCAGUUGUUCUGCCAAGGGCAUAGCUGGGUAGCCACGUAUGGACGGGAUAAGCGCUGAAAGCAUCUAAGUGCGAAGCCCCCCACAAGAAUAGAUUUCCUCCUUUAAGGUAAGACCCGUGGGAGACUACCACGUGAUAGGUCAGAGGUGUAAGUGCAGUAAUGUAUUAAGCUGACUGAUACUAAUAGGUCGAGCACUUGACCAG